Oreochromis niloticus (Nile tilapia) is the source of this 233-nucleotide long non-coding RNA. RefSeq lists it as uncharacterized. The transcript has 3 exons. Lineage: Eukaryota; Metazoa; Chordata; Actinopteri; Cichliformes; Cichlidae. The record is from RefSeq and is a predicted model, not a curated record.
GAGGGUUUUACUUGAUGUGACAGUGAGCUGAUCUCAGUGUUGGUCUGAUAUCAUUGAGCAGCAGGAUGGAGGAAACGUCUCUGCUGUGUCUGCUCUUUCUGAUCUCACUGCUGAGCUGCACCACAAACCAAGUAAUUCCAGAACCAGAUGAUGGACACUGGAGGUGAAGGGAGCUGUCAUGCAGAAGAAGGAAUCUUACCAGGCUUGGUUAGCCUGUGGGACUCCAGAAGAGA